This 26-nucleotide non-coding RNA is filed under the name Rattus norvegicus (Norway rat). Lineage: Eukaryota; Metazoa; Chordata; Mammalia; Rodentia; Muridae. The record is from RNAcentral.
GUAGAUAACACAGAGGUAUGGACUAG